This 430-nucleotide ribosomal RNA is filed under the name uncultured bacterium. Its description in RNAcentral is "partial 16S ribosomal RNA". It matches the Rfam family "Bacterial small subunit ribosomal RNA", at positions 354 to 796 of the family's 1533-position model. The record is from RNAcentral.
GUGGGGAAUAUUGCACAAUGGGCGCAAGCCUGAUGCAGCAACGCCGCGUGAGGGAUGACGGCCUUCGGGUUGUAAACCUCUUUUAGUAGGGAAGAAGCGUAAGUGACGGUACCUGCAGAAAAAGCACCGGCUAACUACGUGCCAGCAGCCGCGGUAAUACGUAGGGUGCAAGCGUUGUCCGGAAUUAUUGGGCGUAAAGAGCUCGUAGGCGGCUUGUCGCGUCUGCUGUGAAAACCCGAGGCUCAACCUCGGGCUUGCAGUGGGUACGGGCAGGCUAGAGUGCGGUAGGGGAGAUUGGAAUUCCUGGUGUAGCGGUGGAAUGCGCAGAUAUCAGGAGGAACACCGAUGGCGAAGGCAGAUCUCUGGGCCGUAACUGACGCUGAGGAGCGAAAGCAUGGGGAGCGAACAGGAUUAGAAACCCUUGUAGUCC